RNAcentral lists this unclassified non-coding RNA (147 nucleotides) under uncultured Ascomycota. RNAcentral describes it as "sequence contains ITS1". The record is from RNAcentral. Lineage: Eukaryota; Fungi; Ascomycota.
CCGUGGGGGCCUCGCGGCCCCUACCGAGAUAGCACCCUUUGUCUUCGAGCACCUUCUGUUUCCUCGGCGGGGACGCCCGCCAACGGGGACCAACCAAAACCCAAACCCGUAGUGUAAAGCAGUAAACCGUACCAAAAGCAAAAAUCA